Molecule: ribosomal RNA, 868 nt
Filed under: uncultured archaeon
Lineage: Archaea
Description: bacterial SSU rRNA
Rfam family: Archaeal small subunit ribosomal RNA
Source: RNAcentral
CUCCGGUUGAUCCUGCCGGACCUGACUGCUAUCGGAUUGGUACUAAGCCAUGCGAGUCGUUGUAGCAAUACAAGGCGGACGGCUCAGUAACACGUAGUCAACCUAACCUAUGGACGUGGAUAACCUCGGGAAACUGAGAAUAAACCGCGAUAGAUCAUUAUGCCUGGAAUGGCUUAUGGUUCAAACAAUUUAUUGCCGUAGGAUGGGACUGCGGCCUAUCAGCUUGUUGGUGAGGUAAUGGCCCACCAAGGCUAUAACAGGUACGGGCUCUGAGAGGAGAAGCCCGGAGAUGGGUACUGAGACACGGACCCAGGCCCUAUGGGGCGCAGCAGGCGAGAAACCUUAGCAAUGUGCGAAAGCACGACUGGGUUAAUCCGAGUGAUUUCUGUUGAAGAAAUCUUUUGUCAGUCGUAAAACCACAGACGAAUAAGGGGUGGGCAAGUCUGGUGUCAGCCGCCGCGGUAAUACCAGCACCUCGAGUGGUCAGGAGGUUUAUUGGGCCUAAAGCAUCCGUAGCCGGCUACGCAAGUCUCCGGUUAAAUCCAGCUGCUCAACAGAUGGGCUGCCGGAGAUACUACAUAGCUAGGGAGCGGGAGAGGUAGACGGUAUUCUGUGGGUAGGGGUAAAAUCCACUGAUCCAUAGAGGACCACCAGUGGCGAAGGCGGUCUACCAGAACGCGUUCGACGGUGAGGGAUGAAAGCUGGGGGAGCAAACCGGAUUAGAUACCCGGGUAGUCCCAGCUGUAAACGAUGCAAACUCGGUGAUGCAUUGGCUUAUGGCCAAUGCAGUGCCGCAGGGAAGCCGUUAAGUUUGCCGCCUGGGAAGUACGGACGCAAGUCUGAAACUUAAAGGAAUGGGCGGGGGACA